GAUGAAGAACGCAGCAAAAUGCGAUAAGUAAUGUGAAUUGCAGAAUUCAGUGAAUCAUCGAAUCUUUGAACGCACCUUGCGCCCUUUGGCCAUUCCGAAGGGCAUGCCUGUUUGAGUAUCAUGAACACCUCAACUCUCAUGGCUCGCCAUGAUGAGCUUGGAUUUGGGGGUCUUGCUGGCCUGUGGUCGGCUCCUCUCAAAUGGAUCAGCUUGCCAGUGUUUGGUGGCAUCACAGGUGUGAUAACUAUCUGCGCUUGUGGUUUUCCAUCAGAUAACCUUCAGUGAUGGAGGUUCGCUGGAGCUCAUAAACGUCUCCCCUAAGCGGGGACAGCCCUUUGAAUGUUUGAUCUCAAAUCAGGUAGGACUACCCGCUGAACUUAAGCAUAUCAAUAAGCGGAGGA
RNAcentral lists this unclassified non-coding RNA (401 nucleotides) under soil metagenome. Its description in RNAcentral is "partial contains 5.8S ribosomal RNA, internal transcribed spacer 2, and large subunit ribosomal RNA". The stretch from base 1 to 121 matches the Rfam family "5.8S ribosomal RNA", at positions 35 to 154 of the family's 154-position model. The record is from RNAcentral.